Molecule: ribosomal RNA, 502 nt
Filed under: uncultured bacterium
Lineage: Bacteria
Description: partial 16S ribosomal RNA
Rfam family: Bacterial small subunit ribosomal RNA
Source: RNAcentral
AGCGAACGCUGGCGGCGUGCCUAACACAUGCAAGUCGAACGUGAAAGGGAGCAAUCCCAAGUAAAGUGGCGUACGGGUGAGUAACACGUAGGUAAUCUACCCCAGAAUCUGGAAUAACCGGCCGAAAGGCUGGCUAAUACUGGAUAGAGCGACGGAAUCCGUAAUUGGGUUUUUCGGGAAAGGGAGCCUGUAAAAAGGCCUUCGUUCUGGGAUGAGCCUGCGUCCCAUCAGCUAGUUGGUGAGGUAAAAGCUUACCAAGGCAAUGACGGGUAGCUGGUCUGAGAGGACGAGCAGCCACACUGGGACUGAAACACGGUCCAGACUCCUACGGGAGGCAGCAGUAGGGAAUCUUGCGCAAGGGACGAAAGUCUGACGCAGCAACGCCGCGUGAGUGAAGAGGGCCGUCGGGUUGUAAAGCUCUGUCGAGUGGGACGAAAAUGCUUGGAGUUCACAGCUCCAGGAACUGACGGUACCACUAAAGGAAGCACCGGCUAACUCCGUG